This 904-nucleotide long non-coding RNA is filed under the name Vulpes vulpes (red fox). Its description in RNAcentral is "lncRNA (ENSVVUG00000008789.1)". Lineage: Eukaryota; Metazoa; Chordata; Mammalia; Carnivora; Canidae. The record is from RNAcentral.
GUGACAUCCCAGUCACAUGGACAGAGUCAGUCUUUGUGAUUUUGCAAUGUUUCAUUGUUGCUUUGCCCUGUAGACGAGCUACUGUGCAGAGCUGACGGGGCAGCUGUUCAGGAAGGGGUGUUUUUUUUAUUAGCUUGUAAGUCACUGAUGGACCAAAAUUUGUACUUCAUUUGUAAAUUAGGAAAGUGGAAUGAGUCUUUGAGCUCCCUGCAUUUGAAAAUCUUCCCUACCAUUCCAAUCAUUUAUGCAAUGUAGUAUCUGUAAUUUCAGUUGGUAGUUCGGGGGAACUGGAGUUAUUUGUUGGGUUUUCCUCCAUGUUUGGAUCCACAUAGGUGUGAGUGGAUAAGGGCUAAGGCCAAGGUUUGUCUUUCAAGACACUUUAGGAGCUUUCUGGGAGUUUCUAGAGAACAGCCACAUGUGAAUGUUCAUUUAUGUCUUUCCUCUUCCUCUGUUUAAAAGCAAAUGUUCUCCUGGGAGUUGAAGUGGUCAAGCUAUUGCCAGCCUUUGUCCUCAUCCUCCUGUCUGAAACAAGGGCGGCCCUCCAGCCAGCCAUUGUCUAAAGAGCUUCAUGUAAAGGCACUUUCACUUACUCACCAACUCCUUUGGCUCAACCUCUGGAGAUUACAAAACCAAAUGGUGUCCUAGGGCCUGACAAGUGUGAGGAAAAGAACUCCACAUACUCUCAUGAUGCAAAUUUUUAUAUUGCACACCUGUGGCCAGAUGAAUCUUUACCAAACUCCACCUUCAUCACAGCAUUCCCUUUCCAAAGACUUCCAAGGAAGUGCUAACUCCUCAGCUUCUCAGACCUCCCCGGCGCCCAGCGGGUUCUUCUUCUUCUAAACUGGCACUGAUUGCAGAUGCUGAUCAUUGGGCAAUAAAUCCAUUCUGCCUUGUGGUGUUGCUU